RNAcentral lists this ribosomal RNA (1518 nucleotides) under Triticum aestivum (bread wheat). RNAcentral describes it as "partial small subunit ribosomal RNA". The record is from RNAcentral. Lineage: Eukaryota; Viridiplantae; Streptophyta; Magnoliopsida; Poales; Poaceae.
AUGUGUUCUUAUUUAUUGAUAGGCUUUUGGUUUACACGACCAAUCGCAGCGAGUGCUUGUCAAAAAGCUUUUGUAACUAAUCGUGUAGGGGAUUUUGGUCUAUUAUUAGGAAUUUUAGGUUUUUUUUGGAUAACAGGUAGUUUAGAGUUUAGGGAUUUGUUCAAAAUAGCUAAUAACUGGAUUCCUAAUAAUGGAAUUAACUCUUUACUUACUACUUUGUGUGCUUUUUUAUUAUUCCUUGGUGCAGUUGCGAAAUCCGCACAAUUCCCUCUUCACGUAUGGUUACCCGAUGCUAUGGAAGGGCCCACUCCUAUUUCGGCUCUUAUACACGCAGCAACUAUGAUUGCUGCGGGAAUUUUUCUUCUAGCUCGACUUCUUCCUCUUUUCAUAUCUUUACCUUUGAUAAUGAGUUUUAUUUCUUUAGUAGGUACAAUAACACUAUUCUUAGGAGCUACUUUAGCUCUUGCUCAGAGAGAUAUUAAAAGAAGCUUAGCCUAUUCUACAUUGUCUCAAUUGGGUUAUAUGAUGUUAGCUCUAGGUAUAGGUUCUUAUCAAGCUGCUUUAUUCCAUUUGAUCACUCAUGCUUAUUCAAAAGCUUUAUUGUUCUUGGGAUCCGGAUCCGUUAUUCAUUCAAUGGAACCUCUUGUUGGAUAUUCACCAGAUAAAAGUCAAAAUAUGGUUCUUAUGGGCGGUUUAAGAAAAUACAUUCCAAUCACAAGAACUACUUUUUUAUGGGGUACACUUUCUCUUUGUGGUAUUCCACCUCUUGCUUGCUUCUGGUCCAAAGAUGAAAUCCUUAGUAAUAGUUGGUUGUAUUCGCCCUUUUUUGGAAUAAGAGCCUCCUUUACUGCAGGAUUAACUGCCUUUUAUAUGUUUCGGAUAUAUUUACUUACAUUUGAUGGGUAUUUGCGUGUUCAUUUUCAAAAUUACAGUAGCACUAAAGAGAGUUCCUUGUAUUCAAUAUCCUUAUGGGGAAAAAGGAUACCCAAAGGAGUGAAUAGGGAUUUCGUUUUAUCAACAACGAAGAGUGGAGUUUCUUUUUUUUCACAAAAUAUACCAAAAAUUCAAGGUAAUACAAGAAAUAGGAUAGGAUCCUUUACUACGUCUUUUGGGGCUAAAAACACUUUUGCCUAUCCGCAUGAAACGGGAAAUACUAUGUUAUUUCCUCUUCUUAUAUUACUACUUUUCACUUUGUUCAUUGGAUUCAUAGGAAUCUCUUUUGAUAAUGGAGGAAUUGGUAAUGGAAUAGCAGAGUUAACCAUAUUAUCAAAGUGGUUAACUCCCUCAAUAAACUUUACCCAGGAAAGUUCUAAUUCUUUUGUAAAUUCAUAUGAAUUUAUUACUAAUGCAAUUUCUUCUGUAAGUCUAGCUAUCUUUGGUUUAUUCAUAGCAUAUAUCUUCUAUGGAUCCGCUUAUUCUUUUUUUCAGAAUUUGGAUUUAAUAAACUCUUUUUACAAAGGAAAUCCAAAAAAAGAAUUUUUAGAUCAAGUAAAAAAAAAUAUACAGUUGGUCAUAUAA